Molecule: ribosomal RNA, 508 nt
Filed under: uncultured bacterium
Lineage: Bacteria
Description: partial 16S ribosomal RNA
Rfam family: Bacterial small subunit ribosomal RNA
Source: RNAcentral
GACGAACGCUGGCGGCGUGCCUAAUACAUGCAAGUCGAGCGCAGGAACUCGACGGAACCCUUCGGGGGGAAGUCGACGGAAUGAGCGGCGGACGGGUGAGUAACACGUAAAGAACCUGCCCUCAGGUCUGGGAUAACCACGAGAAAUCGGGGCUAAUACCGGAUGGGUCAUCGGACCGCAUGGUCCGAGGAUGAAAGGCGCUUCGGCGUCGCCUGGGGAUGGCUUUGCGGUGCAUUAGCUAGUUGGUGGGGUAAUGGCCCACCAAGGCGACGAUGCAUAGCCGACCUGAGAGGGUGGUCGGCCACACUGGGACUGAGACACGGCCCAGACUCCUACGGGAGGCAGCAGUAGGGAAUCUUCCACAAUGGACGAAAGUCUGAUGGAGCAACGCCGCGUGAACGAUGGAGGCCUUCGGGUCGUAAAGUUCUGUUGUAAGGGAAGAACAAGUGCCGCAGGCAAUGGCGGCACCUUGACGGUACCUUGCGAGAAAGCCACGGCUAACUACGUG